This 394-nucleotide ribosomal RNA is filed under the name uncultured bacterium. Its description in RNAcentral is "bacterial SSU rRNA". It matches the Rfam family "Bacterial small subunit ribosomal RNA", at positions 29 to 413 of the family's 1533-position model. The record is from RNAcentral.
AACGAACGCUGGCGGCGCGCCUAAUACAUGCAAGUCGAGCGAGAAGACGUAGCAAUACGUUUGUAAAGCGGCGAACGGGUGAGGAAUACAUGGGUAACCUACCCUCGAGUGGGGAAGUAACUAGCCGAAGGUUAGCUAAUACCGCGUACGCUCCUUGGACUUCGGUUCAGGGAGGAAAGCGAUACCGUGGGUAUCGCGCUCUUGGAUGGGCUCAUGUCCUAUCAGCUUGUUGGUGAGGUAACGGCUCACCAAGGCUUCGACGGGUAGCUGGUCUGAGAGGACGAUCAGCCACACUGGCACUGCGACACGGGCCAGACUCCUACGGGAGGCAGCAGUAAGGAAUAUUGCGCAAUGGGCGAAAGCCUGACGCAGCGACGCCGCGUGGGGGAGUGAA